CAUUUAACUAUACUAUCAAUCUUGUCAUUAUAUACACCAUUGAUUAACUACUUAAGAUCAGUUAUCAUAGAACAAAGUCCCUGUCAUUACUCAGCAGCAGAGAUGAAUGACCAAAGAGAAGACUACGAAGAACUGAAUUCUGUUAAGGACCCAAGAAGAUGUCAAAUGAAAGAUUUGCCAUCACCUCCGGAGAAGCUCAUUGCUCUGAUCCUGGGAGUCAUCUGCUUUAUCUUGAUGUAUAUUGUAGUAAAAAUGAUGCUCUUCGUUCCCUCUACUGUAAUCCUGGAGCAGAACGAUUCAUCCCUGAUAGCAAAGAACCAGAAAG
Equus caballus (horse) is the source of this 325-nucleotide non-coding RNA. NCBI's taxonomy places the organism in Eukaryota, Metazoa, Chordata, Mammalia, Perissodactyla, Equidae. The record is from RefSeq and is a predicted model, not a curated record.